RNAcentral lists this ribosomal RNA (1038 nucleotides) under Triticum aestivum (bread wheat). RNAcentral's name for it is "partial small subunit ribosomal RNA". The record is from RNAcentral. Lineage: Eukaryota; Viridiplantae; Streptophyta; Magnoliopsida; Poales; Poaceae.
AUGACGAUGGUGGAGUUAAUGCGCAUGACCAAGGCCGAGCUCCAGGAGCUUCACAUUGCCUGCGUCAAAGGCUUCACCGAGUUGGAUCCCAGGAAGAAUCUUUGGGUCCACACCCGCUUCUGCAGCUUCAAUAUAGGGGACUUCGACCUCGAUAGAGAGUCUAAGUUUGGCCUUGGGCCGCCGCUUUAUGACAAUCUAACUCCCAAGUUGGACAGGUGCAUGGUGUCGUUUGCUGUCAAUGUCAUUUCCGUCAAAGUAACCGAAUCCGACCGGGGUUAUCCAAUCAGCGUAUAUGGCACUGUUGUUGCAAGGGAUACGAUUGACUACAGAUGUGUCUAUCUCUUCAGACGUGCAAGGGAAGAUCCCCAGAUCAUCAACUCCAAAGAUGAUAUGCUAACAUUGAUAGGUCCACGGCGAGGAUUAGUUCAGUUAGAUAAUAUUUAUUUUGAGUUGAAUCUGAGGGUGAAGGGUGAUGCUGGCGACGAAGAUUUUAGCAAUGGUGUGGUAGUGCUCCAUGUUGGUCCCUAUGAUCCUGAACCAAUCACAAGGGUGCUGAGCAGUUGGCUAAGCAGAGUGGAGUUGGUGCUUGCAACUGUUGAAAGUCCAGUGGCAGCUAGCCUUGAAGUCAAUGUUUUGAAAGGAGCAGCACCUUUCAGUGGCAAAAUAUGUGCUGGGACUAGUGAAAACCCGAAGACUCAGAUGAUUGUGUAUGAUAGCAGAGAUACAAAGAGCGGCUCCUCUGUUGUGUUAACUCGCAACCUCGUAGCUGUCCCUGCCCCGGAUGACGACGAAGAUGAAAUUGGUGUCAAUGUUCGCUUCCUUGAUGAUGGCGAUGACGUCGAUGAUGAGGAUACAGGCACCUUGGUCAAGCUAGCAUACCCUGCUGAAGAGCAAGUUUGCUGUCACCGCGCCUGGGAGCUGCAAGUGAAGGUUUCCUGGACUGCCAUCCUGUGCAAACCAAUGGCAAAACAUGUCUUAACAAGAGGGACCAGUAUGCCCAGGGAUUAUACUUGCCCUAGGUAUGCGCCUCGGUUCUGA